This 2097-nucleotide ribosomal RNA is filed under the name human gut metagenome. RNAcentral describes it as "bacterial LSU rRNA". It matches the Rfam family "Bacterial large subunit ribosomal RNA", at positions 1 to 2110 of the family's 2925-position model. The record is from RNAcentral.
GAAAGUAAUGAAGGGCGUACGGUGGAUGCCUAGGCUCUUACAGGCGAUGAAGGACGUGAUAAGCUGCGAAAAGCCGCGGUGAGGCGCAAAUGGCCCUUGACCCGCGGAUCUCCGAAUGGGACAACCCAAUAUCUUGAAGAGAUAUUAUCCCGCCGAUGCGGGAGGCGAACGCGGGGAACUGAAACAUCUUAGUACCCGCAGGAAAAGAAAAUAAAGAAUGAUUCCCCCAGUAGUGGCGAGCGACCGGGGAAGAGCCCAAACCGACGUUGUCUCGGCAUCGUCGGGGUUGUAGGACCGCGCCAUCGCAAGAAAGGCCGUGAGUGGAAGCGACUGGAAAGCCGCGCCAUAGAGGGUGACAGCCCCUUACACGAAGCAGCCCGAAGCGUAGCGGACUCCUGAGUAGCGCGGGACACGAGUAAUCCUGUGUGAAUCCGCCGGGCCCAUCCGGCAAGGCUAAAUACUCGUAAGAGACCGAUAGUGAACCAGUACCGUGAGGGAAAGGUGAAAAGUACCCCUUGCAGGGGAGUGAAAGAGUUCCUGAAACCGUACGCCUACAAGCGGUCGGAGCAUCUUGAAUGAUGUGACGGCGUGCCUUUUGCAUAAUGAACCUACGAGUUGCCGUCACCAGCGAGGUUAAGUGCGAUGACGCACCGAGCCGCAGCGGAAGCGAGUCUUAAAAGGGCGCGAUAGUUGGUGGAGGCAGACGCGAAACCGAGUGAUCUACACUUGUCCAGGAUGAAGUCCCGGUAACACGGGAUGGAGGUCCGCACCAAUAAGCGUUGAAAAGCUUCUGGAUGAGGUGAGUGUAGGAGUGAAAGGCCAAUCAAACUCGGAGAUAGCUCGUACUCCCCGAAAGGCAUUUAGGUGCCGCCUGUGGCGUUCCCGACGUGAGGUAGAGCGACUGAUAGGAUGCGAGGGCUUCACCGCCUAUCAAGUCCUGACAAACUCCGAAUGCACGUCGGCCAAGCCAUGGAGUAAGGGCAUGGGUGCUAAGGUCCGUGCCCGAGAGGAGAAGAAUCCAGACCACCGGCUAAGGUCCCGAAAUACUGGUUAAGUUAGACUAACGCAGUCCGGCCCCCAAGACAGCUAGGAUGUUGGCUUGGAAGCAGCCAUUCAUUCAAAGAGUGCGUAACAGCUCACUAGUCGAGGAGCUGGGCGUGGAUAAUAAUCGGGUAUGAAACCAGUUACCGAAGCCGUGGGAUGCUUAAGCAUCGGUAGGGGAGCAUUGCAUGCGGCUUAGAAGGCGGGGCGCGAGCCCCUCUGGAGCGCAUGGAAACGCAAAUGUAGGUAUAAGUAACGACAAGGGGGGUGGGAUGCCCCCCCGCCGAAAGACCAAGGUUUCCUGAACAACGCUAAUCGGUUCAGGGUCAGUCGGGUCCUAAGCAUAAGCCGUAUGGCGAGGGCGAUGGACGAAACGGUUAAUAUUCCGUUACUGUCUUGGUGUGUGACGCGGCGACGGAGUAGUGACACGGCCGCCUCCUGACGGAAAAGGAGGUUGAAGCGCAAAGGUGUCGAGGAAGGCAGGCAAAUCCACCUUCCGAGCCGAAGCGCGAAAGUACGCCGGGCCCUUUGGGGCAAGGCGAUAGUGCCGGUAAUCAGACUUCCAAGAAAACCCGCUAAACUUCAGCACCAAGUCACCCGUACUCCAAACGGACACACGUGGUCGGGUAGAAUAUACUAAGGCGCUUGGGAGAUUCACGGUUAAGGAACUAGGCAAAUUGACCCCGUACCUUCGGAAUAAGGGGUCCUCGCUUUUGCGAGGCGCAGAGAAUAGGUCCAGGCAACUGUUUAACAAAAACACAGGGCUGUGCAAAUUUGAAAGAAGAAGUAUACAGCCUGACACCUGCCCGGUGCCGGAAGGUUAAGAGGAGAGCUCAUCAGCGAUGAGAAGGCUUGAAUUGAAGCCCCGGUAAACGGCGGCCGUAACUAUAACGGUCCUAAGGUAGCGAAAUUCCUUGUCGGGUAAGUUCCGACCUGCACGAAUGGUGUAAUGAUCCGGACACUGUCUCAACCGUGAUCCCAGUGAAAUUGUAGUAUCGGUGAAGAUGCCGAUUACCCGCGAUGGGACGAAAAGACCCCGUGAACCUUUACUAUAGC